GCAAUGCAGAUGGCAAAACAAGUUAGUUAUAAAAUGGAAGUAUGGUCCAGUAAAGAAAUUAACAGUAAUGGCUGUAAUAAAAAGAUAAGAAAAUGAAUUACCUGGAACUCAGAAAGACCAUCUGCACCAGCAGCAGCCUCCUCAGCCUUCUCCUUUUCCUUCUCAACUUCAUAUUUGGGCUUCCAGGUCUUCUCUAGGAUGGAGGUGGCAACCUUCUCAUCAUCAGCAAUCAAAAUAUUGUCAAACAGGAUGCCAUCCUGCAUCGUCCAGAUCUCAAUUCCAAUAGCAGCAAUUGGAUCAAAGUCAGGCUUGUCGAGCUCAAAGUACUCAGGGUUGGGGAUCUCCUGAGGCUUCCAGAUUCCCUUGUAGUUGGGAUUGUCAAUCAGGGGUGCAUGCCACUUGCCCUUGUAAGCAGGGUUCUGCUUCAUUGGCCUCUUCCACUCGCCACACCCAGGUGCCACUUCACACUUGGGGUUGUCAAUCUUUGGUGCCUCCCAUUCACCAUCCUCCUCAUCAUCCCAGUCCUCAGGCUUGGCUGCCUCUGGAUCAUCAAUUUCCUCAGGCUCAUCAUCCAGCCAUCCCUCAGGCUUGGUGGCUUCCUCAUCCUCAAUUUCCAUUGGAGCAUCCUCAUCCCAGUCAUCAGGCUUCACUGCAUCUGGAUCAGGGAUUUUAGCUCUCUCAUCCCAGUCCUCUGGCUUCUUGUCAUCAGGGUCAGGAAUGGUCUUGGGUGGGAUAAUAGCUGGCUCAAAAUCAUCAGCAGACAGGAAGUUUGCCUUCUUCUUUUCCUCCCCAUCGAUCAAAAUUCUCACCUCAUUGUCUGGCUUCAAGAUAGCCGUGUAGACAUGCGAGAGCUUGUCAUAUGGGACAGAAGGUGGGAACUUGAGGUGAUGCUCGACAUACUUUCCAGUCUUGGGG
Molecule: long non-coding RNA, 915 nt
Filed under: Setaria italica (foxtail millet)
Lineage: Eukaryota; Viridiplantae; Streptophyta; Magnoliopsida; Poales; Poaceae
Description: long non-coding RNA (SITA_LNC005203)
Source: RNAcentral